This 464-nucleotide ribosomal RNA is filed under the name uncultured bacterium. Its description in RNAcentral is "partial 16S ribosomal RNA". It matches the Rfam family "Bacterial small subunit ribosomal RNA", at positions 28 to 507 of the family's 1533-position model. The record is from RNAcentral.
GACGAACGCUGGCGGCGUGCUUAACACAUGCAAGUCGAACGGAAAGGCCCUGCUUGCAGGGUACUCGAGUGGCGAACGGGUGAGUAACACGUGGGUGAUCUGCCCUGCACUUCGGGAUAAGCCUGGGAAACUGGGUCUAAUACCGGAUAGGAGCCAUUUUUAGUGUGAUGGUUGGAAAGUUUUUUCGGUGUAGGAUGAGCUUGCGGCCUAUCAGCUUGUUGGUGGGGUAAUGGCCUACCAAGGCGGCGACGGGUAGCCGGCCUGAGAGGGUGGACGGCCACAUUGGGACUGAGAUACGGCCCAGACUCCUACGGGAGGCAGCAGUGGGGAAUAUUGCACAAUGGGCGCAAGCCUGAUGCAGCGACGCCGCGUGGGGGAUGACGGCCUUCGGGUUGUAAACUCCUUUCGCUAGGGACGAAGCUUUUGUGACGGUACCUAGAUAAGAAGCACCGGCUAACUACGUG